GAGGAGAAGAAAACAAAAGUGAUUCCGAUAGUAGCGGCGAGCGAAAUUGGAUUAGCCCAAACCAGUAUUGUUACGGCAAUGCUGGGGUUGUAGGACCACGAUAUUCGAGUCAAGAUGAAUUAGAACAGUUUGGAAAGACUGACCAAAGAGGGUGAUAGUCCCGUAUAAGUAAAGAAUGAUAAGAUAGUGGUAUCCUGAGUAGUGCGGGGCACGUGUAACCCUGUGUGAAUCAGUCGGGACCAUCCGAUAAGGCUAAAUACUCCUGAGAGACCGAUAGUGAACAAGUACCGUGAGGGAAAGGUGAAAAGCACCCCGAUGAGGG
This 322-nucleotide ribosomal RNA is filed under the name Oxyrrhis marina. RNAcentral describes it as "partial Bacterial large subunit ribosomal RNA". It matches the Rfam family "Bacterial large subunit ribosomal RNA", at positions 213 to 535 of the family's 2925-position model. The record is from RNAcentral. Lineage: Eukaryota; Dinophyceae; Oxyrrhinales; Oxyrrhinaceae.